GUGGUGUUUGCUGUCCCAUGAUCAUACCAAAUGGAAGUGGGCUCCUACUCAAAGCACACUUAACUAAUGGUAGUGCUGCUGAUGCUGCCUAAAGCAGCUGUGCUGUUCCUAAGAUCAGAACUGUCAUCGCAGAAAUGAUGGAUGGCAUUUAAUGAGCAAAUGCCAAGGAAGUCGUGAGCAAGAAACAUAAAGUUCUCAUGGAAAUGAUGACAUCAGCAUUGCCUGCUGCGGAAGAAUGGAGCAUUCCUCAACUCAUAGAAUCACAGAACAGCCAAAGGACCAUCUGGCACCCUGUCCAGUCACAUCUUGAAAACCUCCAGCGGUGGGGAUUCCACCACAUCCUUGGGAAAGUUGCUCCAGUCAUUGACUGUUUUCACUCUGAAAAAUGUUGUUCUGAUAUCAAGGUGAAGUCUCUCCUGGUGCAUCUUCAAUCCAUUGCCUCUUGUCUUCUCUGUGCUGCUCACUGUGAAGACACAUACCCUGUCCUUUUUGUAGCAACAAGCGCUGAGUAGUGUGGGAUGAUCACAUCUCUAUCUCUGCUGAUUAAGUUCCCAUAGAUGCAGCC
This 565-nucleotide long non-coding RNA is filed under the name Phasianus colchicus (ring-necked pheasant). Its description in RNAcentral is "lncRNA (ENSPCLG00000007733.1)". Lineage: Eukaryota; Metazoa; Chordata; Aves; Galliformes; Phasianidae. The record is from RNAcentral.